This 561-nucleotide ribosomal RNA is filed under the name Belvosia sp. Woodley04A/Woodley04B. RNAcentral's name for it is "partial ribosomal RNA". The stretch from base 1 to 117 matches the Rfam family "Eukaryotic small subunit ribosomal RNA", at positions 1724 to 1831 of the family's 1831-position model. Lineage: Eukaryota; Metazoa; Arthropoda; Insecta; Diptera; Tachinidae. The record is from RNAcentral.
UCACUGUAACGCCCUGAGUGCUGCGGAUGUUUCGCAGAAGUUGACCGAACUUGAUUAUUUAGAGGAAGUAAAAGUCGUAACAAGGUUUCCGUAGGUGAACCUGCGGAAGGAUCANNNAAGUUCUCCUUUCAAGUUAUAAACAAAAACACAAUAUAUAAAAUACUUAUAUUGUAAAAUUAUGGCAAAUGCCAAAAAGAAACAAAAUAACAAUAAUAAAAAUGUUUAUUAUUGUAUCGCCUCCUAGGCAAAAAAGUAUAGUAUAAAGUGUUUGUGUGUGUUACACAUUACACAAAAAUUGACUUAUUUAUAUAAAAUUUGUAAAAACUGAAAUUGUGUGGACGUUAUACAAAAUUAAUUUGUAUAGAAAAUGUCUAAAAAUUUGAAAUACAUAAAAUUAUAGUUGUACUUGUAUAAAAUUGAAAAGUAAUUUUUUAUAUAAGUCAAUCAUUGUUCGUUUUUUAAGAACUUGAGACAUUCGCAACAAAAAUUUUAUGUUUUAGUUAUAAAAGAGAAGAAUAAUAAGCAAAAAUUAUUGAAGGAAUUGAUAUAUGCCAAUUUGAA